UACAGAGGUCUCAAGCGUUGUUCGGAUUCAUUGGGCGUAAAGGGUGCGUAGGCGGCGCGGUAAGUCGGGUGUGAAAUCUUGGAGCUUAACUCCGAGACUGCAUUCGAUACUGCCGUGCUUGAGGACUGGAGAGGAGACUGGAAUUUACGGUGUAGCGGUGAAAUGCGUAGAUAUCGUAAGGAAGACCAGUGGCGAAGGCGGGUCUCUGGGCUGACACUGACGCUCAUGCGCGAAAGCGUGGGGAGCAAACAGG
This 253-nucleotide ribosomal RNA is filed under the name uncultured bacterium. RNAcentral describes it as "partial 16S ribosomal RNA". It matches the Rfam family "Bacterial small subunit ribosomal RNA", at positions 524 to 776 of the family's 1533-position model. The record is from RNAcentral.